GUUGUGUUUGGUUUUACAAUAUAGUUGGUGCAGGUGACAGCCUCAAAGCCUGUUCCCACCAGACUGGAAGAGAAAACUGAAAACCUCUCUUUCUGCUUCUCCUGCUGCAAGGAGUUAUGGAAGAGAAAGGCCAACAGGCCAAAAAACUGCAGAUCUGCUAUCCAGAAGCAGAAAAUGGUACAGAAUUGGAGCCUUGAGGUCCUGGCAUUAACUGCUCCUGGUAGGGAGGAGAAAUCUGAAUGUCUGACAUUGAAGUGCCAUGAAGAACAUGUCUUCAGCAACUUGAAGACGAAAGAAGAUGUGAACUCAAAUCCACUGAGUACUGUAUUUUUCAUAGCCACAUGUUUUAGAUUAGGAGUUGGCAAACUACUCCCUGUGGGUCAAAUACUGCCCUCCACCCAUUUUGUUUUAUUUUGUUUUUUAGACUAUGGGCUAACAUUGUUGUCCUAGAUUUCUAAAAGGUUAUUAAAAUUCAGAAGAGGAAUAAUAUGACAUGUAAAAAUUAUAGAGAUUCAAAACUUAACAUCCAUAAAUAAAGUUUUUUUUUUUUGAACACACCCACAGCACACUAAAUGGAUGAGUGGAGGGAUGGACUAAUUUACAUAUUGUAUAUGGCUGCUAUCCUGCUGCUGCAGCAAAAUUGAUAACAAGUUACAGUAAAACUAUUAUGGCUGCGAAGCUCAAAAUAUUUAAAAUUUGCCUCUUUGCAGAAAAUUUGCUGAC
Molecule: long non-coding RNA, 723 nt
Organism: Chinchilla lanigera (long-tailed chinchilla)
Lineage: Eukaryota; Metazoa; Chordata; Mammalia; Rodentia; Chinchillidae
Exons: 3
Source: RefSeq, a predicted model, not a curated record